UGGGGAAUAUUGGACAAUGGGCGAAAGCCUGAUCCAGCAAUGCCGCGUGAGUGAUGAAGGCCUUCGGGUUGUAAAGCUCUUUUACCAGGGAUGAUAAUGACAGUACCUGGAGAAUAAGCUCCGGCUAACUCCGUGCCAGCAGCCGCGGUAAUACGGAGGGAGCUAGCGUUGUUCGGAAUUACUGGGCGUAAAGAGUACGUAGGCGGUGAUUCAAGUCAGAGGUGAAAGCCUGGAGCUCAACUCCAGAACUGCCUUUGAAACUAGAUCGCUAGAAUUGUGGAGAGGUUAGUGGAAUUCCGAGUGUAGAGGUGAAAUUCGUAGAUAUUCGGAAGAACACCAGUGGCGAAGGCGACUAACUGGACACAUAUUGACGCUGAGGUACGAAAGCGUGGGGAGCAAACAGG
RNAcentral lists this ribosomal RNA (404 nucleotides) under uncultured bacterium. RNAcentral's name for it is "bacterial SSU rRNA". It matches the Rfam family "Bacterial small subunit ribosomal RNA", at positions 355 to 776 of the family's 1533-position model. The record is from RNAcentral.